AUGCCUUCAGCUGGGAUUCCCRGCAUCAGGCUGCAGCACAGCCCCUUCGUCACUGCAUCCUCAACAGCACUCGCCUCAUCGCUGCACAGUCACACUCCCCUUCUAGGUUUCUCAGUCGGUCUUUGUUACUGCUUGCUCAGUCUCACGCUUUCCCUCCUCGAAACUCACCCCUUCGUCAGAGCCACACUGCUCUGCUUUUUUCUCCUUCUCACAACCCUGCCCCUGCUCAUAUCAGCUCUCUCAUCCCAGCGCCCCACUGCCCUCUCUCCUCUUGCUUUCUGGCUGAGGAUCCUAAAAGGAGGACCUGUGCUUAUGCCACCACCAGUUAUAAACUUGCCCAGUUACCUGGCGGUUUUGAACCCUCCUUUAUUAAAUAACCCCAGUCCUCAGGUCAGCAACGGCUUUUCCCUCUGCCCAUAUCCUGUCUUUCCUCCAGGCCCCUGGCGUUCAGCCUGCAAGCUCACCUUAGUCUUUCUAAGACGGAGGAAAUCUCCCUCAAACCAACCAGCCUCUCCAAUUGCAGCUUUAUCUCCUUCUUCCUGUUUACUGCUAAGGACCUUGAAAGAGCCAUUUAUUCCCAUUGCCACGGCUUCCAGCCCUUCUUUGGGAUUUCAGGACGUCUCCCACCUUCUCGGAAACAUUGCGCUGCUGCCUCUCCUCACCAAACCAAAAGGCUUACUCUGCGUCUGUGCUGCACUCACCCCUGCUCCCUCUGCGAGCGCAGCCGCCGUCAGCAAGUCUCCCGCAGUGCCUGGCCACCUGGGUUCCCAGCRACCGCCUCGCCUGCUGGGCUGCCCUUCCCCAGUGUUUCUGGCUGAUCCUCAGAGAGCUGUUUCUGACCCGCUGCCGGUCUCAGCUGUGCCCCAACCUGUACCCUCUGCUUCUCCUGCCUCUGCAGGUGCUGCUCCCCUUCCUCUGCCGCUCCUUCGUAUACCUCCAUAUACUCCAUAUAAGCUUCCACAACUUCUCCAAAACCUGUUCCACCUUCUCUGUUGUACUUAA
RNAcentral lists this long non-coding RNA (1002 nucleotides) under Apteryx haastii (Great spotted kiwi). RNAcentral describes it as "lncRNA (ENSAHAG00000003055.1)". The record is from RNAcentral. Lineage: Eukaryota; Metazoa; Chordata; Aves; Apterygiformes; Apterygidae.